Hevea brasiliensis (rubber tree) is the source of this 762-nucleotide RNA transcript. It is a transcript of the gene named coatomer subunit zeta-2-like, with no coding region annotated. NCBI's taxonomy places the organism in Eukaryota, Viridiplantae, Streptophyta, Magnoliopsida, Malpighiales, Euphorbiaceae. The transcript has 5 exons. The record is from RefSeq and is a predicted model, not a curated record.
UUGUAUCACUGUUGUAGUAAACUAGAAAAGUGGACCAUAGACCUCUGAGUUGUUCUUAACCUGACGAUGAGUAGACAUGGAGUUUACAUGAUACCCUGCAACCUGCGCUCCUGAUAUGUUCCUAUAUACAGCGGAGAUCAAAAUGUUUGACAACUACAUUGUUGUAUAUAAAUUUAUUCAAGACCUCCCCUUCUUUGUGACUGGAGGUGAUGAUGAAAACGAACUCAUUUUAGCUUCUGUUCUUCAAGGUUUCUUUGAUUCAGUUUCUCUUCUCUUGAGAGUACUGUUGACAAGAGGGAGGCAAUUGAGAACUUGGAUCUCAUCUCCUUAUGCCUUGAUGAGAUCGUUGAAAAAGGGGCUGUUGUCUGGAAGAAUGAUAGAGUUUUGAGUUUGUUUCUCUCAUUUUGCAACAUUGCUUGCAAGUUGAUGCAAGCUGGUAUCGAAAUGUUGUGCAUUAUGGAUAAUAAACAACACCUCUGUUUGCCAUGCUUCUGCUCACUGAUGGAAAGGUGGCAGUAAAUGGCAUGGAUCCUAGUGCACCUUUGUCUGAACAGACAAUAAGCCAAGCACUGGGUGCAGCAUGUGAACACUUGACAAGAACCCCUCUUUCAGUAGGGCUGCCAUGGUCGCACGGAGAAAAUGGCUUGGAUUUCAUUCUCUAGUCAAUUUUUGGCUUUCAGUAUGUUGUCAUGUAGGAGUUCAUCUUCGUCCAAUUUUUCUUUGUUGACCUUAAAAUUAGUGAGGAUAAUACCAUUUCAUUUG